AGGCCAAGAUACGCUCAAUGAGGGAGGAGUAUGAACAAAAAAUCAUAGCAAUGGAAGAAAGUGACAAGGAACAGGAUGAGAAGGAGAAGCAGCAGAAUUGCCAGUUGCAAAAAGAGAUCGACCGAUUAAUGGAAGAAGAGCUCUCCUAUAAAGAACAGAUAAAAAGACUACAAAAGGAGGUAGCUGAUCUAUAUGAGAAGUACCGUUUUGAGGCUGAUGCAAGGAGACUUCUACAAUGACUUGAAAGCUA
Long non-coding RNA from Amphimedon queenslandica, 250 nucleotides. RefSeq lists it as uncharacterized. The record is from RefSeq and is a predicted model, not a curated record. NCBI's taxonomy places the organism in Eukaryota, Metazoa, Porifera, Demospongiae, Haplosclerida, Niphatidae. The transcript is spliced from 4 exons.